GCCCUGGUGGUGCAAUGGUUAAGCACUUGGCUGCUAACCAAAAGGUUGAUGGUUCGAACCUACCCAGAGGUU
RNAcentral lists this transfer RNA (72 nucleotides) under Loxodonta africana (African savanna elephant). It matches the Rfam family "tRNA". Rfam says of the family: Transfer RNA (tRNA) molecules are approximately 80 nucleotides in length. Lineage: Eukaryota; Metazoa; Chordata; Mammalia; Proboscidea; Elephantidae. The record is from Rfam by way of RNAcentral.